RNAcentral lists this long non-coding RNA (1761 nucleotides) under Homo sapiens (human). Its description in RNAcentral is "long non-coding RNA NONHSAT016137.2". Lineage: Eukaryota; Metazoa; Chordata; Mammalia; Primates; Hominidae. The record is from RNAcentral.
UACAGUGUACACAGGAGUGGGACCUUCUGUUCUUGAACUUAGGCUGUGGUGUGAUCACCCUUUUCUCUGCAUCCACCUGACAGGCUGGGACUUGGGCUAUGCUCUGGACAAGGCUGGCUGGUGCAAUGAUGCCCUCUAGAGGAUGGAUCAGGCCCAGUCACCACCUCAGAUUCAGUGCCUGCUGCUCUUCCUCUUUCCACUUGGCCCUGGUGACAGACAGAUAGAGGCCCAGCUGACGUGUCUAUCGGAACGACUUUAUUUCAGUACACUGGGCCCCACCAGGCAAUGUGGUUUGUGCGAGGCUGUGCGAGGGACAGGCUUGGGCUAAGAGAAGGGAGGUGAGUUGGUUAAGCGCACUGCAGUCCGCGGGGCGCUACGUUGCUUUCACACAUACCUGCUGCUGUGGCCCACACCUGGCAGGGGCCUUUGGUCAUAGGACGGCGUGGGGGAGAAUACUGUGUGAAGUCUGGGAUUGGGGUGGGUCUUGGUGUCACAGGUGAGGGUGCCGGUGAAGACAGGCUGGCCCCAGCUUUGCACCAUCUAGGCUGAAGGCCUUUGGACCACUCCUAGGAGUCAGGCCUGGCUCCAUUAGCUCCUGGCACUCUGGUCUGGCCCACUCCCUCCUUAACCAAGCAGGUCCAAGGUCAAGAAUGGCACAAGAUCAGCCCAGAGGGGGCCUUCCCACCUCUACAACCUAGUCCCCUGGUCAGCUACAGUGGCAAAAGGCAACUUGGUAAAUUGCAGCUUUCUCCAGUCUUAAGGGCACUGGCUCUCCAACACCCCUCCCUUGCUUAGGGGCCUCUGCCAAAGAAAAAUUUUACCUCCUGUUUCAGAAAAUCUAACCAGCAACCAGCCUGUUGAUUCCAGGGCAGUGAGCAAGAGGAAAAGGGAGAAAGAGCCUGGUGGGAGUGUCUUUGAGUGUAGCUUCCAAUCUCAAAUGGUCCUGGAACCUGUGGACACUGUCAGCUCACCAUCAGCUGGGAGAGGUGGGGCCCUGGAGGCUAAGCUUAGGUGCUGUAAACAUUAGUGUAGCAAGGCAGGAGGCAGCAAGCUCCCUCUCUCCAGCCCCUAACUGAACAAACACUUCAAUAAAUAAAACGGUUUGAAGAUGGCAUUGCAACAAGAACAGAUGGAAAGCGAGGUCCUGGAACCAGCAGGUGCCUUAAACUCUCCCAAGGCCCCCGAAAGGGGACUGGGCUGGGAACAUUAACUCUGCAGCCAUUCAGAGUGAGGACUGCUCCUGCCCUCCUCCAGUGGCCGGUGUGGUCCUGUUCCCUGGUGAACAUGAGGGCCUCCUGCUCUCUCCUGACUCCAGUCUCUGUAAUAGCUCUUGGGGUGCUUUUCCAGCCUCCCAAACCAAAAUGGCAACAAAACCAGACAGAACUCAACCCCAGUCCCAGUCCUCAGUGUGCAGUCAGGAGGCAUCGAUAGUGGAGGCAGCAGCUGCCUGGGGCCUCAGGCCAUCACCACUGCAGGUAGUUCAUCGUCCUUUCUGGGCCCAGGGUCCCAGGGCCACACGGCACUCGCAUGUGCACACACACUCAUAUCCACACACGCACUCACACACAGGCAGUUCCUCGCAAACACUCCGACUCAAGAAAGCGAGUUUUAAAGUGGAGUUAACUUCAGAGAGAGGUGAAGAUGAUGUCCCGACAUUAGAAGGUUUUUCUGUGGAUGGAUCGGGCACCGUCUUCCUCAUAUUCCUUUUUGGAGACCCACAUCUUCUUAAAGGUGUCCAGGGAGGCAAGGAUGGAGCCCCUG